GACGAACGCUGGCGGCGUGCUUAACACAUGCAAGUCGAGCGGAAAGGCCCUUUCGGGGGUACUCGAGCGGCGAACGGGUGAGUAACACGUGAGUAAUCUGCCCUUGGCUUUGGGAUAACCACCGGAAACGGUGGCUAAUACCGGAUAUGACGGGCUCCGGCAUCGGGGUUCGUGGAAAGUUUUUUUCGGCCAGGGAUGUGCUCGCGGCCUAUCAGCUUGUUGGUGGGGUAAUGGCCUACCAAGGCUUCGACGGGUAGCCGGCCUGAGAGGGUGACCGGCCACACUGGGACUGAGACACGGCCCCAGACUCCUACGGGAGCAGCAGUGGGGAAUAUUGGACAAUGGGCGAAAGCCUGAUCCAGCAACGCCGCGUGAGGGGAUGACGGCCUCGGGUUGUAAACCGUCGUUUCAGUACCGUACGAA
This 423-nucleotide ribosomal RNA is filed under the name uncultured bacterium. Its description in RNAcentral is "bacterial SSU rRNA". It matches the Rfam family "Bacterial small subunit ribosomal RNA", at positions 28 to 449 of the family's 1533-position model. The record is from RNAcentral.